Molecule: long non-coding RNA, 153 nt
Organism: Maniola jurtina (meadow brown)
Lineage: Eukaryota; Metazoa; Arthropoda; Insecta; Lepidoptera; Nymphalidae
Exons: 3
Source: RefSeq, a predicted model, not a curated record
AUUGGGAUAAGGUUAUAGGUCCCACAAAUUGCUAUUGCGCUGAAACCAUGUCUCAUUAACAUCAAAAUUACGUCAUUUUUACGUCAGCCGAAAUAAAAACAAAAAUAUACCAUCAGCUCGAAACUUCAGCCUAGUGCUGACGUCACUAAACUG